Molecule: non-coding RNA, 582 nt
Organism: Pelobates cultripes (western spadefoot toad)
Lineage: Eukaryota; Metazoa; Chordata; Amphibia; Anura; Pelobatidae
Source: the annotation of a GenBank genome assembly
CGGACAGACAGGCACCCGUGAAACACAGGUAAGUUGCUCAGAAGCAUGUAUUGCAAAUAUGAAAAGACAACUGACAUCAAACUUUCAUUUCUCAUUUAUUAAUGUAUAUUACAUACAAAAUAAUGAACAGCCAUGUUGGGUAAGACCUGCAGGCAAGUUCAUUAUAAACUGAUCCUAAAAGAUUUACAAUUUGAAGGUUGUCAGGUUUCUAGCACUACUGAAAAUGUUUUGUUCAAGGCACAAUACAGGCUCCAGUUUCUUUCCAUCUAAGAUACACUAAGCGGACAAAAAUAUUGGGACACCAAAAGGGACUUUUAUGACAUUGCAUUCUAAAUACAUAGAUAUUAAUAUGUAGUCUGUCCCCACUUUGCAGCUAUAACAGCUUCCACUCUUCUGAGAAAGCUUUCCACCAGAUUUUAAAGUGUUUCCAUGGAAAUUUUGCGUAUUCAUCCAGGAGAGCAUUUGAGGUCAGGUACUGAUGUUGGACAAGAAGGCCUGGCUCGUAAUCUCCCCUCCAAGCCAUCCCAAAUAUAUUUAAUGGGGUUGAGGUCAGGGCUCUGUGCAUUCCAGUCAAGAUUUUCA